Molecule: small RNA, 127 nt
Filed under: Serratia marcescens
Lineage: Bacteria; Pseudomonadati; Pseudomonadota; Gammaproteobacteria; Enterobacterales; Yersiniaceae
Description: RtT sRNA
Rfam family: RtT RNA
About the family: This family represents a bacterial cis-regulatory element known as RtT RNA.
Source: RNAcentral
GACCAGAAUAUCCAGCGUAGGUAUUACGCGAUAGGAGGUUUGAGCCGAACGUAGUGAGACCACGUUGCUUUAGCAACGGCCCGCAGGGUAAGCAUCGAAGAUGCGCAUAAUCCUCUCAUGCCGACCA